This 496-nucleotide ribosomal RNA is filed under the name Apoglossum ruscifolium. RNAcentral's name for it is "partial 28S ribosomal RNA". It matches the Rfam family "Eukaryotic large subunit ribosomal RNA", at positions 406 to 949 of the family's 3401-position model. Lineage: Eukaryota; Rhodophyta; Florideophyceae; Ceramiales; Delesseriaceae. The record is from RNAcentral.
CGUUACGGGGGAAGCGGAUUGCGUCGAAUUGAAUAAGUGCGUGUUGCUCAGCCUUGUAAUUUUUUAUGGGGUGUAUUCAUCACGUUACUUACCCGUCGUGAGUUUCUGGUGGUCGAUUUUGCGGCUGCUGGGGGCUGAGGGAUCCCCUUUCUAGGGUGAGGACGACGGGGCGCCGACGCGAUACGACCCGUCUUGAAACACGGACCAAGGAGUCUAGCGUAGCUGCGAGUCGUAGGGUAUUGAAACCUGAGGGCGCAGUGAAAGCAAAUUGUAUUUUUUGAAAAAACUAAGUUUUUUUUGGCAGUUUGGGGCGGCAUACGAUCUUUGAUUGUAAGUCCGACCUUGAGCAGUUAUGCUAGGACCCGAAAGAUGGUGAACUAUGCCGGAGUAGGGCGAAGCCAGAGGAAACUCUGGUGGAGGCUCGUAGCGUUGCUGACGUGCAAAUCGCUCGUUAAACUCGGGUAUAGGGGCCAAAGACUAAUCGAACCAUCUAGUA